GCUCGGCUCAGAGGCAGCAGCACGCUCAGGCCAUGCGGCUGUCGUCAAUAUGAGCGGAAAUAUUUAUGUAUACGUGCUCUUCACUCUGUUGUUUAAUAAUACGUGACGAGAGGCUGCUGUUUACGCAUUAUGAGCCUAUUGAGCCUUUUAUACAGCCGUGAAAUCUGCGCGGCCACAUGACUGCUAGGCCCCAGCCUCGUGGAAAGGUGGAGGACUGGUGGUACCCUUGUGGCCUGUGCACACCCUUGUGACUGGACUGCAGAGGCCUGACUCUCCCAUUGAGCCGGCCCUGAUAAGUGAGCGGAUCUCUGAAUACCACCUCCGAAGCCUGCCUGGGUAAGCAUCAUGAAAAUCAACGGAAAGGCUCAUGAAUGGUCAAAUGAUUUUAAUGCUUCAGACUUCUUAUCAAUAAUGAAGACGACAUACAUCUGUUGACUCACUGCAUUUUUAUGAAGUUUUUCUUUGUGUAAUCAAACUCAUCAAGCAGUAAUUGAGACCUUUACACUGUGACUCAAAUAAAGCACUUUCCCACAAC
This is a long non-coding RNA of Salarias fasciatus (jewelled blenny), 535 nucleotides long. RefSeq lists it as uncharacterized. NCBI's taxonomy places the organism in Eukaryota, Metazoa, Chordata, Actinopteri, Blenniiformes, Blenniidae. The record is from RefSeq and is a predicted model, not a curated record. The transcript has 4 exons.